UGUGUGAUGAUGUGUCAUUCA
RNAcentral lists this non-coding RNA (21 nucleotides) under Arabidopsis thaliana (thale cress). Lineage: Eukaryota; Viridiplantae; Streptophyta; Magnoliopsida; Brassicales; Brassicaceae. The record is from RNAcentral.